RNAcentral lists this ribosomal RNA (897 nucleotides) under Triticum aestivum (bread wheat). RNAcentral's name for it is "partial small subunit ribosomal RNA". Lineage: Eukaryota; Viridiplantae; Streptophyta; Magnoliopsida; Poales; Poaceae. The record is from RNAcentral.
AUGCACCGAAUAUGCAUAACCAACACGGACGCAAAACCUGUCGCUCCUUUUCCUUUCUUCCCGAAGUCUCUUCUUCUGGAUCGUCAGCCCACAACCGACACCCAAGGCCAAAACCCGACGAGAUCCUCUUCUCCCUCCACCCCCACUCCAGCCACACAGAGCAAGGCAGGCAAUCGCGUCACCACCGUCGACCCCCCCGUCCGUCGAGGUAUGAGACAGGAGGCCGCCAGCCUGGUGGUCACCCGCGAAGACCACCGGCAGCACCACCACAGCCGCCCGCCGCCUCCCGACGAGGAGGACGGGGAGGAGGAGGAGGAGGACACGGAUGCCGUGGCCCCGUCGUCCUGCGCGACGAUCCUGCUGCGCCGGGUGAGCGGCGAGGCCGAGGCGGUGGAAAGUGAGGAGCCGCUGCAGCUGGUCCCGCCGCUCAACUUCGCCAUGGUGGACCACGGCGUGUACCGCUCCGGGUUCCCGGACGCCUCCAACCUGCCCUUCCUCGAGACCCUCCGCCUCCGCUCCGUCCUGUGCCUCUGCCCGGAGCCGUACCCGGAGGCCAACCAGGAGUUCCUCCGUGCCCACGGGAUCAGGCUGUUCCAACUCGGAAUCGACGGCUCCAAGGAACCCUUUGUGAGCAUUCCCGAAGACAGAAUCCGCGAGGCUCUGAAAGUUGUUCUAGACACAAGAAACCACCCGGUGCUUAUUCACUGCAAGCGUGGAAAGCAUCGAACUGGCUGUGUUGUUGGAUGCUUGAGGAAACUGCAGCGCUGGUGUCUAACAUCAGUAUUCGACGAAUACCAGCGUUUUGCUGCUGCGAAAGCAAGAGUUUCUGAUCUAAGGUUUAUUGAGCUAUUCGACGUCUCAAGCUUAAAGCAUUUACCCGCGUCUUUCUCAUGUUGA